This 274-nucleotide ribosomal RNA is filed under the name uncultured bacterium. RNAcentral's name for it is "partial 16S ribosomal RNA". It matches the Rfam family "Bacterial small subunit ribosomal RNA", at positions 523 to 796 of the family's 1533-position model. The record is from RNAcentral.
AUACGGAGGGUGCGAGCGUUAAUCGGAAUUACUGGGCGUAAAGCGUGCGUAGGCGGUUUGCUAAGUCAGAUGUGAAAGCCCCGGGCUUAACCUGGGAACUGCAUUUGAUACUGGCAGACUAGAGUAUGAUAGAGGGGGGUAGAAUUCCUGGUGUAGCGGUGAAAUGCGUAGAUAUCAGGAGGAAUACCAGUGGCGAAAGCGGCCCCCUGGAUCAAUACUGACGCUGAGGUACGAAAGCGUGGGGAGCGAACAGGAUUAGAAACCCCAGUAGUCC